Molecule: small nuclear RNA, 106 nt
Organism: Artibeus jamaicensis (Jamaican fruit-eating bat)
Lineage: Eukaryota; Metazoa; Chordata; Mammalia; Chiroptera; Phyllostomidae
Source: RefSeq, a predicted model, not a curated record
GUGCUUCCUUUGGCAGCAUGUACACGAAAACUGGAUGAAACAGAGAACACCACCAUGGCUCCUGCACGAGGGUGAUACGCAAAUCUGUGAAACGUUCUGUUUUUAA